This 736-nucleotide long non-coding RNA is filed under the name Equus caballus (horse). RNAcentral describes it as "lncRNA (ENSECAG00000048513.1)". Lineage: Eukaryota; Metazoa; Chordata; Mammalia; Perissodactyla; Equidae. The record is from RNAcentral.
CAGCAAGACUUGGUCCUUCUUGCUAUGUCUUUGCAGUAGAACAUUCUAUUUCUGUGACAGAAAAUGAAGUCCCAUUAUGUCAAAACUGUAGAACACAUGGAGCCUUCUGCAGAAGCUUGACGUGUUAUCUGCCAAAAAGAUAUUAAGCAAACCAAAUUCAUCUGGUGUUUUCUAUAAAUGACUCACUAUUAUUGUCUAGCAUCCUCGUCUACCUAAGAGAUUCAGCUGCACUCGGAUACGCUUGCGGCGAGCUCCCUGAAGAGUUUCCCUGUGCUUGGAGGAAGAAGUAACGUCAGUAAAUCAAAAUUUACACCCUGUUGACCUUGGAAAUACAAAGGCAACACAAUAAACCAACAUGAGGUCAUGUUUCCAUUCUGGUUGAGGACAGGGGAACAUUUAAUCCUGAGCAGAGUGAGGGAGACAGGAGGAAAUAAAAUGCAUGCUGACUGAGACGGUACUGUUUUCUCUUGCAGUUUGCUCUGCAAGAUCCAGUUGGGAAAGGAAGAAGCAUUUAUUUCUCUUGCUUUCCACACAUACCUUUGAAGUGUCUUAGCAUCAAAAGAAACACCCAGCCUGAAACUAUAUUUUCUUUACUCAAAACGUGUGGUGUAAGUGAGAAUGGGUAUGAGAGGGGGGAGGUGCAGGGGGAGCUUUGUGGGCACAAAGAAAUAGUCAAGAUAAAAAUCAUGAUAAAAAUCAUAAUUUCCAAGACUUAAGACAGAUGCCUCUGAUUGGG